CCUCUUGCAAUCUGCCGUCGCGCGCAUUAUAAUAGCGGCGUCCCUUCGGGGAAGACGACGCUGAUUGUAUCGUAUAAUAGAUCUUUUGGACCGGGGGGCGGAUCCCCGCAGCUCCACCAUUUUUCGCCGGAGGCGAAAGAGGGACUAGGAUUAGGACUAGGACUAGGUGAACCUUGUUGUCGCGCACAAGCGCUAUCACAAACUCCACCUAGUCCUAGUCCUAAUCCCAGUCCUUUCGGGGCUGAACUAGAUUCGACAGGGGUUGAAAGGCGGUGCUUGCGUUCCGGGGCGGUUCCCGUAAAAACCAUUAAAUGAAUGCUAAAAACAUUCCUGCGAACGACAAUGUUCGCCUUGCGAUGGCCGCCUAAAUUGGCUUGGUGCGAAGGGCGAUUGCUUGACGCAUCGUUAUGACCAUCACGGGGCCCGCCGGGGCCUGGCACCAGAACCCGGCACU
Molecule: transfer-messenger RNA, 454 nt
Filed under: Rickettsiales bacterium
Lineage: Bacteria; Pseudomonadati; Pseudomonadota; Alphaproteobacteria; Rickettsiales
Rfam family: Alphaproteobacteria transfer-messenger RNA
About the family: Bacterial tmRNA, also known as 10Sa RNA or SsrA, is named for its dual tRNA and mRNA-like properties. Its role is to liberate the mRNA from a stalled ribosome. To accomplish this part of the tmRNA is used as a reading frame that ends in a translation stop signal.
Source: RNAcentral